UACGUAGGGGGCAAGCGUUAUCCGGAAUUACUGGGUGUAAAGGGAGCGUAGACGGUAAUGUAAGUCUGGAGUGAAAGGCGGGGGCCCAACCCCCGGACUGCUCUGGAAACUAUGUUACUAGAGUGCAGGAGAGGUAAGCGGAAUUCCUAGUGUAGCGGUGAAAUGCGUAGAUAUUAGGAGGAACACCAGUGGCGAAGGCGGCUUACUGGACUGUAACUGUCGUUGAGGCUCGAAAGCGUGGGGAGCAAACAGG
RNAcentral lists this ribosomal RNA (253 nucleotides) under uncultured bacterium. RNAcentral's name for it is "partial 16S ribosomal RNA". It matches the Rfam family "Bacterial small subunit ribosomal RNA", at positions 524 to 776 of the family's 1533-position model. The record is from RNAcentral.